CUCCUCCUCCUCCUCCUCCCUCCCUCGUAUGCCGCCGCCACUCCCUCCCUCCUCCCUCCUCGUCGCCCCUGCCUCUACCCUAGGAGCUCCGCCACCUCCCACGCGCUCGUCCUCUCAUCUCCCAUGUCACGCCGUCGGCCCCUGCCAAGCCAUAGUGGUGCUCUACUUGCGCCCUCGCCUCUGGUAUCACCAGGCCCUCGAUGCCGGCCUCGUCGGCUUGCCGCCGCGCUCGAAGUUGUGGCCCUGGCUGCGCGUCUCGUCGCGCUCGGGAUUCACCCAUGCGCCCUCCCGCCCUGGGGAACGUGCAAAAGGGUCAAAACCCUAGCCGCCAGCAGUUCUCGUCAAGCCUCCUCCGCCUCGUCUCCUCCCUGCUCCCUCAUCUCCCACGUCGCCGCCUUCACCUCGUCUCCUCCCCGCUCCCUCCUCUCCAACGCCGCCGCCCUCGAUGCACUGUAAGGGACGCCGUCGACAGGUCGGGGAUACGCAGCGACGGAGCUCAGCCAGAGCAGAGCACAACCCCACUCCUAACCCUAUUCGCUUGAUGACAAGAGCAGGGCAACGGAUUGGAUCGAGGGCGCCCUGGCUUGGCCACCGCUGCCACCUGGAUUCGCUAGCCGCUGCGUGGAGUUGCCCUGGCCGCCGCCUUGAGUCACCUCCGUCGCCGCCUUGAGUCAACUCCACCGUUGCCGCCAGGAAUCCCAUCCCGGCAAGGAAAAUUCCUAGGGAUUUGAUUGAUGGAGGCAUCACUAUUUGGCGCUGGAUUAUCCAUUUUUGCAGCACCAGCAAUGUUGUUUUUGUUUGGAAUGGUCAAUUCUCAAUUUCUAAAUCAGCUAUACUAUACUUCUUGUCAGGUUACAUUAUCUUGCUUGGUUUCAGUCUAUAUGUAGCACAAAAAUAGAUGACAUGGUUGGUUUGUAGGUUACAUUAAGGAACACCACCAUAAGGAACGCCGCUCUCGCAUUGCACUUCUUUGUUUAUAUUUGAUCUGUUCCUAUUCGGUUUGCUGUAGUACUUAAUUGAUACACCAUUUCAAUUCUCUUGCCGUUUUCUUCUUGCUGCUUCAUUGUAUUCAGUUAUGAUAUAUUUUUCAACUGUACAAGCACUUGGGGAAGUCAGGAAAACUGAACCAAAGACAAACACUUUUACUGGAGAUGUUGGGGCUUUUUUUAACUGAGAUGUGACAGAUGCAUCUUAUUCCCUGAGAUAUAUUGCCUUUAAUUUCUUGAUUUUUUUCCCCGACAUGCUAAUAUAGAGCCAGAUAUGCAUGAUUCAUCAUACACAUUACAGUCAAUUAUCCAUUGGAAUCUUUUGUCCAUAGAGGUGAUCUUGUUUGGACCAUUAGUCUAGGUAGUGACAUUUUGAUCGAUAAGGCACAAGUUUAUUUUCUUUUUCACUCGGGCUACACUAAAGUAAGCAUCAUCAUCAGUGAAAAGAAGGCAUAAAAAUCAUGAAGUUUUUGCCUUGGUUGUGUGCCUCGUUUAGUUGUCACUUAUUUAUUUCUAGGAAGUUAUUCAAUUCUCAUCGAGCUUUCCUUAUGCUUUCCAUUGCUACAGAAGAAAUUUAAAUACACAAUAUUUUUAAUAUCUGAGGAGGCGAGAGGAGAUGAAAAAGGGUUGUAAGGUCGUACUUUGGUGCGUCUCUGGCCAACGAUGGCUGGAUCCAUCUGACGCUCUUCCAAGCAGAGCAGUACAGAUUUGCUGACUGAGCAGUGGAGAAACAUGUUUCUAUGAAUGUGCCAAAACUGAUGGAUUUAACUACAGGUAUUUGCACUAUCAUUCUACCGGUAUAUUGUCGUAUUGCAUUAUUCAACUGUAAGUCUGUUCUAAACUCUAAGCCCCAUGUUGUAAGUCUGUUCCCUAUAUAAAUCUGAUGGAAGAUCGGGCCAUUUAAUUUGAACAAAAAAGGGUAGUAUGCUCUCAGUUGCUUAAAUCUGUCGAGACCUGAAAAUUAGAUAUACUUUGAAAGCUUGAUGUACGAGUAGGAGAUAGUUGAUAAAGUUGUACCUCUUGUAGGAGAUUAUUAGUUGAUUACCUGCUUCUAUGCGGUGAACAAAUGAGUAAGCAGUUUUAGUUGAUAAAGGUGUAGGCAACACACCUUUUUUGCUUCAUUUUUUGGUUUGUAAGUCCAGGAUGUUUAGACUUUUCUGAAUAUCUUAAUUGUAAAAUAAUUUUGAUGAAUUUUUUGAACCAUUCAGUCUGUUUUGUUCAUGCAGUUCAUGAUACCACAUCUGCAGGCUACAUCUUUUGUAGAUUUGGCUACCACAUUAUAUGAUGAUUUUUCACUUUGCUCAGUCAAAGUUUCAGUAAAAAAUUGAAUUGAACAUCUUUUUGUAGACAUACAAAAAUGGUCUGCAUUUUCUACAUCGCCCUGACAUCCAAUUCAAACUAUAUUUUCUGCCUAAACUAUUGUGUACCUAUGAUAUCAUGGGAUAACUCAGACAUGAGCCAGUGUCCAGUCGCAAUUGGGUGCAUUAUUUGGUGACAUCUAGUGCUAACUGUUUUUUCAAGGCCACCCAGUGGAGUGAGGGUUAGUAAUGUGGCAUCAGCCUAUUCUGGACCUCUGUAUUAUACUCCCUCCAAUCCAAAUUAAGUUUCGUGGUUUUAGUUCAAAAACCACGACACUUAUUUUGAAUGGACCUGUGUAUUAUGCUUCCUCUGAUCCAAAUUAAGUGUCGUGGUUUUAGUUCAAAAACCACCACACUUAUUUUGGAUCGGAGGGAGUAGUAUUUAAGAGAUUCCUUGCAUACGCAUGAUUCAUAAAAGUACAGUGUGGGAUGCCAUUAUAAACUCAUGAAAUCUGAUCCUGAUAGUGACAUGAUUUACUCUGUAAAAGCUGUUUUUAUUGAAUCUGAUGAUGUCACUGCUGCUUGUUGCUGUAAGCAAGGAGAUUGACUACAAGUUUCGAUGUCAACUUGAAUAUUUAUUGUGGAUGUUUGAGCGUCAACCUGAAUUUUGUUUAACCUACUACAAAAAUAAUUUUUAGGAUGAUUGGCUGUACUACCGUCACAAAUAAUCAGGAAAGAUUAUUUUGUAGGAUGAUCAUUGUCUUCCAUAAUAAUAUUAUAGCCGCCGGCCGAACAACGAAGGUUGCACUGCAACUACUUGACUACAAGUUUUAUGUGGAGUUUCGCUGUACAGUAUGCACAAACUCAGUGAGAUAAGGAAUCAUCGUCGCUCACAUUUUUUUUCUCUUGAAAGUGAGGUGUCACCGCUGCAUUUUUUUUCUCGGAAUCAGGGAUGUUUCAAACAUUGUGUGUGAGCCCACCUUCAUAAUGUGGAAACAGACCAUGUCCAUACAUGAUAAAACAAACCAAACUGACAUGUGUAUACUGAACCGUCUUUAGAGACUUCAAUUUCCACAAAAUGGUUUCCGGUAUUUCUCCCUCUAAUGUGCAUUGUUGUGAGUGCAACUGUC
RNAcentral lists this ribosomal RNA (3414 nucleotides) under Triticum aestivum (bread wheat). RNAcentral's name for it is "partial small subunit ribosomal RNA". Lineage: Eukaryota; Viridiplantae; Streptophyta; Magnoliopsida; Poales; Poaceae. The record is from RNAcentral.